RNAcentral lists this long non-coding RNA (1890 nucleotides) under Parus major (Great Tit). RNAcentral describes it as "lncRNA (ENSPMJG00000002731.1)". Lineage: Eukaryota; Metazoa; Chordata; Aves; Passeriformes; Paridae. The record is from RNAcentral.
UGUCCACUCCCGGUGUCCACUCGGCCGCCAUGGCGUGGCUGGAGCGUGUCCAAGCGGGCGGCCGUGGCCUGGAGCGCCGGCUGGACUUGGUGUCGGCCGAGGCGCUGCUGGCCGGGCUGCGGGCAGCCGGAGCUGUGACCGAGCCCGAGGUGGCCGCGCUCGGACGGCCGGGCAGCUCGGGCUGGGUGCGGCGGCUGUGCGCUUUGGCCGUGGCCAAAGGAGACCAGACGUGCCGUGUCCUGCUGACCGUCCUGGAGGGGCUGGAGGGGCCGCCCCGGCCGGGGCCCUUCGAUUUUUACGACCCCCAGCGUGACGCAGCGCCCACACACCGCUCGGACUGUCCUUGCUGCCAGCCAGAGCCCCAGGGGGCGGGCGAGGAGGAGGAGGAGGGAGAGCCCCGAAAUGGGGAGGAAGGCCCCAAGGAAGAGGAGGGAGAGGCCCAAAACGGGGAGGAAGGUCCCGGGGAUGAUAAAGGUGGAGGAGAUGAAGCGCCCGAGGGUGAAGGUGAUGAAGGCCCUGAGGAAGAUGAAGGCCCCAAGGAUAAUGAAGGUGGAGGGGAAGAAGGCACCGAGGAUGACGAAGGUGGAGGGGUUGAAGGUCCUGAGGAUGAUGAAGAUGGAGGUGAUGAAGACCUUGAGGAAGAUGAAGGUGGGGGUGAUGAAGGCCCCGAGGAGGAUGAAGGUGGAGUGAUGAUGAUGAAGAUGGCCUCCAUGAUGAUGAUGAUGACAACAAAUUUUGGGCCAAAACAAGCCCAAUCCAGAUCCUCAGUCCACCCAACGCCCCCCCUCCCUAAGCCUUUUUCCCUCCCCUCCUCCCCUCCCCCCAUCCCCAAUAAAGCCCCACCCCCAGCACAGCUGCAGCCUCAGUGGGGGCGGGGCCUUGUUAAUUAAUGAAGCCCUGCUCAGUGGGGGAGGGGCGGGGCCAUCCCAAUGGCCGAGGGCCUGAAUGGUCAGCAGUCAGUGGCCAGAAUGGGGGUGUGGCCUUGGCCCUCACAAUGACCAACGGCCGCUUUUGGUUCUCUGUGGUUUCCACGACCAAACCCCAACUUUUGGGGUCCUCCUUGACCCCAAUGACCAAACCCCAACUUGGGAAGGUUCUCCGUGAUUUUAAUGACCAAACCCAACUUUUGGGAACCUCAACAAAAACGUCCAAAUUUAUAAGGUUCUCCAUGACUUUGAUGACCAAAACCCAACUUUGGGGAUUUAUCUGGAAAGCCUCCACCAAAAAAGUCUAAAUGUGGAACCUUCUCCUUGGUUUCUAUGACUCAAAACCUGACUUUGGAAGGUUCUUCAUGACCUUGAUGACCAAACCCCAAAUUUGGAGGUUUCAACUGGAGAGCCUCCACCAAAAAAAUCCAACUUUGGAAGGUUCUCCUUGGUUCUGAUGACCGAACUCCAACUUUGGAAGGUUCUCCAUGACCUUUAUGACCAAAACCCAACUUUUGAUGUUUCAACUGGAAAACCUCACCAUAAAAGUCCAACUUUUGGCUCCUCCUCAGUUUCCACAACCAAAACCCAGCCCUUGAAAUCUUUCCAUGAUUUUAAUGACCAAGCCCCAGCUUUGGGGAUUCAACUGGAAAACCUCCACCAAAAAAGUCCAACUUUGGAAGGUCCUCCUGGCCUUCUGUGACCAAAAACCCAACUUUUGGGGCUCUGCACAGCCCUGAUGACUGCUGUGCACCUCCCAGGGGUUCUCCUUACCCCCAAUGGCUGCCCCCAAGCCCCCCUAGAUGCGGAAGCUCUCGGCCUUGCCGUCGAUGUGCCGCAGCCUCAGGUAGACGUCGGUGCCGACGCCCUGCAGCGACUGCAGCACCAGGCACCCCGCCAGGUACUCGGCAUAGGUGCGUGAUGUCAGAGCCCGAAGCCAAACCUGUGGGGGCACCCAGUGUUC